Molecule: ribosomal RNA, 253 nt
Filed under: uncultured bacterium
Lineage: Bacteria
Description: partial 16S ribosomal RNA
Rfam family: Bacterial small subunit ribosomal RNA
Source: RNAcentral
UACGUAGGGUGCAAGCGUUGUCCGGAAUUAUUGGGCGUAGAGAGCUCGUAGGCGGUUUGUCGCGUCUGCUGUGAAAAUCCAGGGCUUAACCCUGGACCUGCAGUGGGUACGGGCAGACUAGAGUGCGGUAGGGGAGACUGGAAUUCCUGGUGUAGCGGUGAAAUGCGCAGAUAUCAGGAGGAACACCGGUGGCGAAGGCGGGUCUCUGGGCCGAUACUGACGCUGGAGGAGCGAAAGCGUGGGAGCGAACAGG